UGGGAAUUUUGGACAAUGGGCGCAAGCCUGAUCCAGCCAUGCCGCGUGCGGGAAGAAGGCCUUCGGGUUGUAAACCGCUUUUGUCAGGGAAGAAAUCUUCUGAGUUAAUACCUCGGGAGGAUGACGGUACCUGAAGAAUAAGCACCGGCUAACUACGUGCCAGCAGCCGCGGUAAUACGUAGGGUGCAAGCGUUAAUCGGAAUUACUGGGCGUAAAGCGUGCGCAGGCGGUUUUGUAAGACAGAGGUGAAAUCCCCGGGCUCAACCUGGGAACUGCCUUUGUGACUGCAAGGCUUGAGUGCGGCAGAGGGGGAUGGAAUUCCGCGUGUAGCAGUGAAAUGCGUAGAUAUGCGGAGGAACACCGAUGGCGAAGGCAAUCCCCUGGGCCUGCACUGACGCUCAUGCACGAAAGCGUGGGGAGCAAACAGGAUUAGAUACCCUGGUAGUCCACGCCCUAAACGAUGUCAACUGGUUGUUGGGAAGGUUCCUUCUCAGUAACGUAGCUAACGCGUGAAGUUGACCGCCUGGGGAGUACGGCCGCAAGGUU
This 546-nucleotide ribosomal RNA is filed under the name uncultured bacterium. RNAcentral's name for it is "partial 16S ribosomal RNA". It matches the Rfam family "Bacterial small subunit ribosomal RNA", at positions 356 to 895 of the family's 1533-position model. The record is from RNAcentral.